GACGAACGCUGGCGGCGUGCUUAACACAUGCAAGUCGAACGGUGAGGCCCUGCUUUUGUUGUUUUCGCGAGUGGCGAGCGGGGGAGUAUCACGUGAGUAACCUCCCCUUUACUUUGGGGUAACUUCAUGAAACUGGAUCUAUUAUCGGAUAGGAGCUCCGACGGCAUGGUUGGUUUUUUAAAGAUUCGGCGUUUGGGGAUGGACUCGCGGCUUAGCAGCUUGUUGGUUGGGUAGUGGAGUACCAAGGCUUUGACGGGUAGCCGGCCUGAGAGGGUGACAGGCCACAGUGGGAUUGAGAUAGGGGCCAGACUGCUACGGGAGGAAGCAGUGGGGAAUAGUGCACACUGGGCGGCAGCCUGAUGGAGCAACGCCGCGUGCGGGAUGACGGCUUUAGGGUUGUAAACCGUUUUAGCCUGUGACGAAGCGUGAGUGACGGUAAUGGGUAAAGAAGCACCGGCUAACUACGUG
RNAcentral lists this ribosomal RNA (468 nucleotides) under uncultured bacterium. RNAcentral's name for it is "partial 16S ribosomal RNA". It matches the Rfam family "Bacterial small subunit ribosomal RNA", at positions 28 to 507 of the family's 1533-position model. The record is from RNAcentral.